RNAcentral lists this ribosomal RNA (497 nucleotides) under uncultured bacterium. Its description in RNAcentral is "partial 16S ribosomal RNA". It matches the Rfam family "Bacterial small subunit ribosomal RNA", at positions 28 to 507 of the family's 1533-position model. The record is from RNAcentral.
GAUGAACGCUGGCGGCGUGCCUAAUACAUGCAAGUCGAGCGAACGGACGAGAAGCUUGCUCCUCUGAUGUUAGCCGCGGACGGGUGAGUAACACGUGGAUAACCUACCUAUAAGACUGGGAUAACUUCGGGAAACCGGAGCUAAUACCGGAUAAUAUUUUGAACCGCAUGGUUCAAUAGUGAAAGACGGUCUUGCUGUCACUUAUAGAUGGAUCCGCGCUGCAUUAGCUAGUUGGUAAGGUAACGGCUUACCAAGGCAACGAUGCAUAGCCGACCUGAGAGGGUGAUCGGCCACACUGGAACUGAGACACGGUCCAGACUCCUACGGGAGGCAGCAGUAGGGAAUCUUCCGCAAUGGGCGAAAGCCUGACGGAGCAACGCCGCGUGAGUGAUGAAGGUCUUCGGAUCGUAAAACUCUGUUAUUAGGGAAGAACAUAUGUGUAAGUAACUGUGCACAUCUUGACGGUACCUAAUCAGAAAGCCACGGCUAACUACGUG